This is a non-coding RNA of Bactrocera oleae (olive fruit fly), 344 nucleotides long. The record is from RefSeq and is a predicted model, not a curated record. Lineage: Eukaryota; Metazoa; Arthropoda; Insecta; Diptera; Tephritidae.
AAACGAUUUGUCGAUCUCGAGAACUAAAACUCACUUUUGUUGUCAAUUUUAGAUUUCCACAACGUUUUUAACACUUUUAUAAUAAACAAUUCGCGCUCAAAACCUUUACACAAAAACGUUGUAAAUAAGCGCAAAAUUGUGGUUUACCUCCAAUCGGCUUUGCAAGAAACAUAACUCUAUCAAUUUCCAACAGUGUGGCUGUAUUCUACUGUGGAAAAUGGCGCAAGUAAAGUUGUCAAUGCUGGAGGUGUUCGGAAAGUUAUUAGGCAAAAACAUUUAUCAUUUCUUUUAUAUUAAGUAUUUGUCGUUAUAAAUAGCGCAAUAAACUUAAUAAUUACAUUAAA